CGGGACACGUGGUAUCCUGUCUGAAUAUGGGGGGACCAUCCUCCAAGGCUAAAUACUCCUGACUGACCGAUAGUGAACCAGUACCGUGAGGGAAAGGCGAAAAGAACCCCGGCGAGGGGAGUGAAAAAGAACCUGAAACCGUGUACGUACAAGCAGUGGGAGCACGCUUAGGCGUGUGACUGCGUACCUUUUGUAUAAUGGGUCAGCGACUUAUAUUCUGUAGCAAGGUUAACCGAAUAGGGGAGCCGAAGGGAAACCGAGUCUUAACUGGGCGUUAAGUUGCAGGGUAUAGACCCGAAACCCGGUGAUCUAGCCAUGGGCAGGUUGAAGGUUGGGUAACACUAACUGGAGGACCGAACCGACUAAUGUUGAAAAAUUAGCGGAUGACUUGUGGCUGGGGGUGAAAGGCCAAUCAAACCGGGAGAUAGCUGGUUCUCCCCGAAAGCUAUUUAGGUAGCGCCUCGUGAAUUCAUCUCCGGGGGUAGAGCACUGUUUCGGCAAGGGGGUCAUCCCGACUUACCAACCCGAUGCAAACUGCGAAUACCGGAGAAUGUUAUCACGGGAGACACACGGCGGGUGCUAACGUCCGUCGUGAAGAGGGAAACAACCCAGACCGCCAGCUAAGGUCCCAAAGUCAUGGUUAAGUGGGAAACGAUGUGGGAAGGCCCAGACAGCCAGGAUGUUGGCUUAGAAGCAGCCAUCAUUUAAAGAAAGCGUAAUAGCUCACUGGUCGAGUCGGCCUGCGCGGAAGAUGUAACGGGGCUAAACCAUGCACCGAAGCUGCGGCAGCGACGCUGAUGCGUUGUUGGGUAGGGGAGCGUUCUGUAAGCCUGUGAAGGUGUGCUGUGAGGCAUGCUGGAGGUAUCAGAAGUGCGAAUGCUGACAUAAGUAACGAUAAAGCGGGUGAAAAGCCCGCUCGCCGGAAGACCAAGGGUUCCUGUCCAACGUUAAUCGGGGCAGGGUGAGUCGACCCCUAAGGCGAGGCCGAAAGGCGUAGUCGAUGGGAAACAGGUUAAUAUUCCUGUACUUGGUGUUACUGCGAAGGGGGGACGGAGAAGGCUAUGUUGGCCGGGCGACGGUUGUCCCGGUUUAAGCGUGUAGGCUGGUUUUCCAGGCAAAUCCGGAAAAUCAAGGCUGAGGCGUGAUGACGAGGCACUACGGUGCUGAA
Molecule: ribosomal RNA, 1168 nt
Filed under: Escherichia coli
Lineage: Bacteria; Pseudomonadati; Pseudomonadota; Gammaproteobacteria; Enterobacterales; Enterobacteriaceae
Description: partial 23S ribosomal RNA
Rfam family: Bacterial large subunit ribosomal RNA
Source: RNAcentral